RNAcentral lists this long non-coding RNA (588 nucleotides) under Setaria viridis. Its description in RNAcentral is "long non-coding RNA (SVIR_LNC003788)". The record is from RNAcentral. Lineage: Eukaryota; Viridiplantae; Streptophyta; Magnoliopsida; Poales; Poaceae.
CGCGACUUGUUGAUUAAGCAAAGAUUAGUACUUGCAUGUUCAGAUCGAGUAAGAACAACAUCCUUAGUCAUCAGUGGACCAUCACUUAAUUAGCUGCCAACACACAUGCUAAGAAGAAUAAUUUGUAUAUUGAUCAGUGUACGUAUCUCGGAUUACCUAAGAACCCUACACCAUUAAGCAAAGCGUCGCAGUUUGUCAAUACUUAAUUCUGUACUCUUCUGAAAACCUGAUUGAGCCUGCAUGCCCCCUGCUUUGUCUCUGCACUCUUCUUUUCCUUUAAAAAAAUUUAGCUGCUGUUCGUCCUCUAAUAGUUUUUUUUUUUUAAAAAAAGAAACUUGGAUUUCAAAUUAGGAGGCAUCAAUGGUCAGGUACAGACAUGUUCACAUGGCUCCUACACAAGCUAGAGAGCUCUUAGCCUCUACUUACACCGUUGCUCAGAAUUUUUAAUUUCCAUGAUACGUAAAAUUUCCAUGCAUUACGGUACUAAUACUGAAGAUAAAAUUAACAAUUAAUGGACUAUAUUGAUCUAGGCCCUUGUUUACUUCACCCCCAACUCCCAACUUUGGCACUAUGCAAAAAGAAGAUUCC